GAAAUAAUGGCACUAGCUAACAUUAGUAGAGACACUAAUACACAAAAAUACUUUAUAUAACCCACCAACUAUAAUGACAUGGUUUAACAUUUAAAGAUGAUAUUGAUCACUUACAUCCAGACCAUUUGAAAUGAGUGAAAUAUUGACUUAAUCCGCAGAAAAACUUGGAGACACACAGGAGUAGAGGAAGAAAGAGCUGUCUCUGGCCCCCACAAUAAGCUUUUAUUCAUACUAAGACACAUGCAAACACACACACAUACGUCUCCUUCAUUGUCUUUCCACCUGCUUCAUAUGUUUUCUGGCCCACACCCUGGUGCACCGUGCUAACAGACUCACACAUGUAUUGCUGUGAGAGAGCACUGCAGGCACAGGGGCUCAGAUGAGAUGCCAGCUGACAGUCAGUUAUUUUAGGCGCUGCACUGUGUGCACCUAAUUGAGUACGUUAGGUACAAGUCAGAAGCUCAUAUAUGCAUGUGUGCACACACACUGAAAACACACCACACACACACCUGCUUGUACACAGAGCCAAGCAAGCGUGAAUGCAUGCAUAGUCCGUCUGGAUACAUUUGUUUGGACGUUUGGACAUUCUUUCUCAACAGCUCGGUUGUUUCAGGACUCUGUCCGUAUGGAUGCCUGGCCAUAUCGUGGAUGUCUUUGGAACAAUGACUUUGUAGAAUAGAAGAAUUUGUAGAAUUGGUAAAAUGUGUAUAUUUACAUGCAUGUAAUCUGCCCACAUAGUAUAUGGUUGGCUUAAAUUUAGGUCAUAAUUUGUCAAAUUGGCCGGCUCGCUUGUUUGUUAGUUUUUUUUUUAAAUAUCUCCAGCUGUUAGUUUCUUUUUACACUUCUUCUUUGUCUUUUUUCACUACACACCCAUGCUCAUGGCUGCAGUAGGAGAAGUAACAAUUAGCUGUCUUGACAGUUUACACAAUAAUAAUAACAAGGCUCAGGGAACAUAUGUGUACGUAUUGUAAUACUACAGUAUGCCACUGAGAGGAACUGACAGUGAGACUGGCCCUGUGAUGGUUAAUGGACAUAAGCAGAGUUAAUUUGGUUCGUACUUUAGCUUGGGGGCGGCUGACACACAGCAACAUUUGGAGGCGUUUUUCUGGCAACCUGCACGAGCUCUUGAGGAGCUACCAGUGCUUUUUAUGUGAAAACAGCUGUUUGCUGCAUGUGGUAAGAAGGUGGAAAACAGCAGAAAGACAAUCUGCUGAAAGAACCCCCUAUUUAAAAAACUAAAGCUAAUUUAUUGUACUUACAUACCGUAAUUUAACAAACAUUUGUUUAACAAAUCAUAUCUCUUCACAGUCUGUACAGCAUUUGUCACCAUGUGUCCUUAAACCCCUAAUUCAGAUAGGGAAAAAGCCUCAGGAAGAAGACCACAGGAGGGGCUUGUGUUCCACCACAGGCAGAUGUGAACCUGAAAAUCUUAAAGUAAGGACAAUCAGAACCCAGGAUGGGUUUGCCUCUACAAGUGAAAGCUCACAUUUCAUAGCUAUUUAGUUGCUAAUAACAAAUAUAUAUCUUACAGUAGUUCUUUUUUCAUUUUUUAAACGUACAUUUUUUACCAGUGGCAACUGAGCAACAUUAGCAUGCAUUUGAUGGGUUUUUUUUCAAUAGUUACAAAUUUCACCCUCCUUUUGUGUCUGAUUUGGUCUCCACACAUCCAAAGCUAAAACUUGUUUCAUAAAAACAAGUGUCAGGCAGAGAUUAAAGGGGCUAAGGGUUUUUAGUCAGCUUGGUGUCCUACAAUCAUGUUCAUGUGUAUCUGGUUGUGGGAAUGCUUGUUGUUAUGCCUGUGUAGGUGCAUGUGAGCUUUUUUUUGAGACCAUGACACAUUCACCAUCUAUUAUUGCUUUCUGGAGGUUGUACAAUGCAAGCUUUCUGUCGCUGCAGCUAUUGGAUCCAGUUUACCUGCCACACUGCAGUCUCCUGAGAUAUUCUGGGACUUUUCUAGAGCUAGCUCUCUCUUUUGGCCUGCGGUCUCUACUGGCAUUUUAAUAAUAACAAUAAAAAAAAUCUUCAUCUCUCUGACCUUAACAUGGUAUGAUGGAUUUCCUGAGAAGACGUCUCGUAAGUCUAGAAUUUGUCCUUCGGCGUGAAAGUCUGUCUCUCUGGCUCUUGAUGUGAUGUAUGUGCUAGGCUGUGUACUCACUGCAGUAAGAUCCAUCUGCAGCGUCUGACAGCAGGUUGAGAAACAGAACAAAAGAUCAGGAUGCUUCAGUACAGGUAGCAGCUAAUUACGUGCUGUUUUGUUUUAGAAGACCAUGAGCAAGUGAUGCACAAGCAUAUGUAAAUGUCUAUGUAAAUGUGUUCUAGCAAUACAGGUUGAAAGUCAAAAUGUAUUGUGAUCCUGCUUCUCACGACAGCAGCAUUAAUAUGGUUUUAACUGAUAAGAGUGUCUACACGAAAUGGCUCAAAAAUCUUCAGAACCUGAGGCGUGAAGCAAUUUUGCAACCAAGUGCCCGACCAUAUGACAAUAAUCAUCCUACACUACAGAGCGCUGCUGACAGGGAACUAAUGCAAAACAUUUUCAAGCAACAAAUGAGACUCCCAGGGCCCCUCCCCCAACAAAUUAAAAAUAAAAAGUUGCCUUGUGUGUCCUUACCUCUUAAAACUGCAGAUACAGUAUGUACCAUCUUCUCCACGACACAUUCAGGGCCAUGUUUUGGUAAAGGCAGCCUUGUGCCUUGCUUCACAAAAAUAAGGCCAGCAGACUCAGGUUGGGACAAAACGACAGGGGUGCAUUUUUAGCACAGUGCAAAGACGAGGGGUGGGAAAUGCUUAAGUUAGAGUGUUUCAGUUUGAAUCCAAUCAGAACUGUGUCGUUUUUUCAGCAAUGAAAAGCUUCUCCUUUUUUUCUCUUUUCUUUUUUGUUGUGCGGGCAGCUUCAGCACGGAUUCCCGGUUGCCCGGGCAACAGGGAACAGUGUCAACACCCGCCGGUAGCAUAAAUGUGUUCGCUUUUACAUUAGCAUAGCAUAGCCAUGAGUUAUUUUUAUUCUUUGUGUCUUUGGAGCUGAACAAAAAAAACCAAAAUAAAACCCCAAAAAAGCAAAAAUAAAAGAAAGAAAGAAAGAAAAAACAAACAUGUCUUUGAUUAAGUGAUCAAGAUUAAAUAUGAGUAUUUUUUUUGUUGUUACUUGUUCCUAUUUGUUCAUUAUUUUGGCUUCCAGUUGUUUGUCUUGUGGAUUGAGGUCGUGAGGUGACAGAUGUGUUGUAGUGUUGUCCAGAUCUGAGCUGGGUUCCCCAAAGUGUUUGUCACUGGUUUGGUGUUCUUGCAAAGCUUUGCUUGGGCUGAAAAUAUAUUUUAAUAGACAUACACAGACUAAAAAAUAUAUAUCUUUAUUUUUUACCAUGUGGGUCAGAUGAGAUGUGUAGAAGCACACUUUGUAUAUUUCUGACAAGGAUACUAUGUUUGUUGGAAUAUAAAAGCCUACAAAGGUUAUGAGUGCUAUUUUAUGAGUACUUCAAUUUCUUGAGUGGGUUUCAGCGAAAUGUAGAAAACAUUCUGUGACUGAAACAAGAUGCUUCUACUGUCACCAUCUCGGAGACCACUGGCCUUUCUGUGCGUCUGUCAUUUUCACUGCUCGGCAUCAAAGUAUAAACUAGUUUGUACAGACAUUUUGGGAAACACAAACCCAGAAUCCACUCUCCUGUUCUGAUCUCUCUCUCUCUCGUUCCCUGUACUGUGCUGUUUCCCUACAGUGAUUGACAAAACCUGGUAAACUGCUUUGUGGUCUCAGUAUUGCCAUGUGCUCUGUAUUUGCAAAUGUGAUUUGGGAGGCCUACUAAAAGUUACCGAAUGUACUGAAUGUGAUAAGACAGAAGACGAGACGUGGGGAUGGAAGCUUUCUACACUCUCCCAGGCAUAAGUGGGAAUGUGCAACAGUUAAAUAGAACCUUGUUUAUGCUAUACUGCUUUACACUUACAAUGACAGUGUAAACAUGUAGUCAUAGAAUCACACCAUACAUAAAAACUAUGCACUUACAUGGCUUCACCCUCAAGUGACACUAACACUAGCAAGAGUCAGAUAUGAGUCCAAUUCAGCAACAAUUAAAUUCAAUGUCACAACUGUAAAAAUACAAAUAUAAUAGAGAGAUUUUACAUCAUAAUAUACAGUACUGUUUUAUUAAUUCAGGUUCACUGACCGAGUUAUAACAUAUUGAUGUUAUUUGAUCCAAAUCCAGCCAUAACAUUCAGCGCAAUCAUUUAGGACUGCUGAUAAGUAGUGUUUACCCUAUGGCACCACAUAUUCACCCUUAAACACACUUCUUUAUAUGGUUGCUUGUUUCUUACAUCCUCGGCUGCAGCUCUUCAGCCACACAUACAUGACAACAACAAGAAAACUUGUUGGGUCCCGGCAAGUUUAAUAGGGGAUGCGUGAUGAGCUUCUCGAGCUCAGGUGUGUCUGCCUCCCCCGCAGCCGCGUCAUGAACCAUGCCCCGCCACACCCUAUUUUACACAUUAAAUUCUUUGUCUCAUUAUGCAAGUGCAUGAAAAACGCUUUGAAGUUAACAGUCAAAAUGAUAUAUUGGAAACCAGCAAGUCAUUUAAAUGGUUGCCAUUAAAAAAAUUAAGGGAACACUGGGAUCUCACAUCAGAUGAUGACGAGAUGAUGAAAAAUGCUUUGUCUCAUAUUUGAGUAACUAUUUUGUAAAUAUUUUGUCAAUAAUUAUAAUUAUUGUGUGUCUGAGAAUGACAUAUUCAUAAAAUUAAUACUCUUUACAGAUGUACUUGGCGUUGAUAACAAACACGCUGUAGACAUAAGGUUAUAAUUUAUCAAUAAUGGUCUGAGGAAACCAAAAUCAACCCCUUGAGAGCUCCCAAAAAUUUACAUUUUUAAAAUUGUUGUGUUAAGAGUGUUCCCUUAAUUUUUUUGAGAAUUGUUUAUAAAAAUAAGGCCUCGCUUAGUGCUGUCCUAGUGGCAGCCUGUUGUAGCAUGAUAUAUAUAUACAUAUACAUAUACAUAUAUAUAUACAUAUACAUAAAAUGAAAACACAUUUAGCACAUUUUAGAAAGGAUUUAACUUAACCCGCAGAUUUGAGUCAAGCCAAGUGACCUAACUGCCAGAAAUUAAAUUUUAGAUCAAUUCCUAAUGUCAAACUUGAAAUCAUGCCCUGGUGUCUUGCUCAAUUUCAACCAAAAUUUAACAUUUACUAGAAAACAGAUCACUUCAUUUUCAUUACCUAGUGGGGACAAUCUGUAACUGGUUUUAUAAUUGUAAAUUAUAAUGAAUUAAAUAACAUUUUAUUUAAAAUUGGCUGUUGCUAAUAGUUUAACAGUUCAGAGAACUGUUCAUUAAUUAGUUAAUAUUUAAAUGAGACGCUAGAGCUCGAGUUGGCUAACUUAGCUCAACAUAAAGACUGGAGGUCAGGGAUAAUGACUAGCUUGGGCCUUUCCAAUUAUUGGUGGCUGCAAAGGAAAGCUUAUUUAAUUUGACUUUUUAACAAAUAGUAAUUCAUUUACUGUAAAUAAUUUCUAUCCAUAAUAUUUCUGCCCUUUGCCAAGUAAUAGUUUAAGGUCACCUCUAACUGUAUUUGAACCUUACUGUUCUGGUACGAGUCAAACAAAAGAGUCUCAGAAUGUUAAACUAAAGACAGACACUCUUUGUUUCUACUCUUUAUGCUAAUCUCAGCUCUCUGGCUUUAGUGCCACUGUACACAAAGUGGUAUUGAUACUCAUAUCAAACAUACAUUUUAUUGAUUUGCUCACUCUGACUGGACUCAUACCUCUGACUGGGUUAGCCUAUUAGAUACAUUAGAAACAACCAUAGCUAGUCACUUGAGGGUUAAGUGUCACACAAGAGGCAGCAUGUUGUAUUGUGAUAAAGCUAAUGCUAGGUGCUUAUUCUGCACCACACAUGUACAAAGUUAUUAAGAAAUUAUUUCUUCUACUUGAUAAUCCCUCUAACAUCAAACAAGAUUAGGCUACUGCCUGUUUACAGGAGGAGGAGUGUUUCCUUUUCAUUCACCACUCACACAGAAAGAUAGAGGGCAUACGCCGGCAUUACUUUUCUUGUUAUAAUUCUGGUUAUAAUGAUGAAGUAAUCUUGGUGGUAUUCAUUGUUGUGGUUGUUGUUGUCACUGUAAUAGGUCAAUGUAACAUUGCAAUGUGUUUUAAAGUAAUGGUUGGGAUAAAAAACACAGUGAAUGAGAUUGUAUUAAAGAGCUGAGAGAAGUACGAGGCUAAAUUAGCUGAUAGGAUCGUGGAUGUACAAAGGGAAAGGCUGCCUCCCCUCACCAAAGCCUGCCAGACACAUUCUUACACCACCAGAUAAAAUCAGUGGGUUUUAAAAAUGAUAACAAGGAUUAACAAUGGGUUAGAGCACAAUCCAUCCAUCCUAUUAACAGCUGCAUGACUUUGGCUAAUAACUCAAUAAUGACAGAUUACAUACAAUAAGCUUUCCUAUCUUUCUGAGAGGAACAAUAAUACAACCAGAGUUACUUUGACUUUUAUUCUUCCAUUCCGAAUUCCUAAUUCAUGCUUUGAUGAUGAAGCCUAAAAAGAAUAAUUAAAAAGUUGGAGCCAUUCAGUGAUAUGAGCAGAUAUGGUUUUGGCUCUUGUAUCACAAAUGUUGUUACACAUUCAUUGGUCAAUGACUUGUUAAUCACAAGUCAAGCCAAGCCAUUGAGCCCUGUUUAUCUUCUUUUCUCACUCAAAUUUACAGAAAACACUUAAUUAUGAAUUUAGGAUGACUUGAAACUGGCGACCAAAGCUGCUGCCUCCUGCUGGCCAUUGGGGAAAAAUGCAGGUUUAAGGCAUUUCUAUACUGGCUUCAGUUUUCAGACCUUCUUUUAUAUAUAGUUUACCAGUAUUUACAUGUUGAAUUACACCAACCGAUAACAGUUUGCACCACACGCCUGUUCUGCAUGCACUAUGGGUGUAUCUUUGUUCAAUCUAAAUGAUCAUUUUGCUGCUAUAUCUUUAACAUUUAGCAUUAUUUGGGUGUCUUGAUUUGACGUGCUGUACAUGUAGCUGUAGCCAAAGUAAAUGUGACUGGCAGGCUUUGGUUUUCAGACCGAGUAGUUGCUGUGAAUCCAGUGCAGUAGUUCAGUGCCUAUACUAAAUGUGAGGUAGUGCCUCGACUAUGAAUCCUGUUCUAUAAUAAACAUUUUUGACUUGCUGUCUGAUUCCAUA
This is a long non-coding RNA of Astatotilapia calliptera (eastern happy), 7140 nucleotides long. The record is from Ensembl. NCBI's taxonomy places the organism in Eukaryota, Metazoa, Chordata, Actinopteri, Cichliformes, Cichlidae.